Mauremys reevesii (Reeves's turtle) is the source of this 515-nucleotide long non-coding RNA. RefSeq lists it as uncharacterized. Lineage: Eukaryota; Metazoa; Chordata; Testudines; Geoemydidae. The transcript is spliced from 3 exons. The record is from RefSeq and is a predicted model, not a curated record.
GCAAGUGGUGGCAGAGGCAGCAGUGAACAACAAUAGCAGCAGCUAGCACUGACCAACAGUGGCAGCAGCAAGCAGAAGCAGAGAUAACAGUAGCAGUGGUGAGCAGUGGAAGAGGCAGCAGUAAGCAGCCAGCAGUGGCAGCAUCUGCAAGCAGUGGCAGCAGCAGAGUCAUUGCGCAACACCCCUGCUUUAAAGGAUGGGAGGUGAACCAACAUGAACAUACCCCUCAGAGUUCAAGGAACAUUCAUCCGUUGGACUUUCACACUGCCCAUCAUACUGCGGGGGGAGGUGGGGAUUGGGAACCUGAGUCAGAUGAGGAGUCCUAGAAGAUGCCCUUUUUCUAACCUCUAUGCAGAAUUCUUGACUUCCCCUGGGGUGAAGGAAAGGAGACAAAUUUGAUCAAUAAGGAACUUGGCACAACUUCAUUUUGCAGGGGAUCAGCUAUAGAUGGGAAACAAACAUCAGAGUCCUGUCUGUCAAAAGAGAAUGAAUAGCUUAGAUCUUCUGUUCCUGAC